CCUACGGGUGGCAGCAGUGAGGAAUAUUGGUCAAUGGACGAGAGUCUGAACCAGCAAAGUAGCGUGAAGGAUGACUGCCCUAUGGGUUGUAAACUUCUUUUAUAUGGGAAUAAAAUGUUCCACGUGUGGGAUUUUGUAUGUACCAUAUGAAUAAGGAUCCGCUAACGCCGUGCCAGCAGCCGCGGUAAUACGGAGGAUCCGAGCGUUGUCCGGAUUGAUUGGGUUUAAAGGGAGCGUAGGUGUGUUGUUAAGUCAGUUGUGAAAGUUUGCGGCUCAACCGUAAAAUUGCAGUUGAAACUGGCAGUCUUGAGUACAGUAGAGGUAGGCGGAAUUCGUGGUGUAGCGGUGAAAUGCUUAGAUAUCACGAAGAACUCCGAUGGCGAAGGCAGUUCACUGGACUGCAACUGACACUGAGGCUCGAAAGUGUGGGUAUCAAACAGGAUUAGAUACCCGGGUAGUC
Molecule: ribosomal RNA, 460 nt
Filed under: uncultured bacterium
Lineage: Bacteria
Description: partial 16S ribosomal RNA
Rfam family: Bacterial small subunit ribosomal RNA
Source: RNAcentral